Molecule: long non-coding RNA, 674 nt
Filed under: Homo sapiens (human)
Lineage: Eukaryota; Metazoa; Chordata; Mammalia; Primates; Hominidae
Description: non-protein coding lnc-IGLL1-1:56
Source: RNAcentral
UCAGCCCAAGACUACCCCGUCGGUCAUUCUGUUCCUGCCGUCCUGUGAGGAGCCCCAAGCCAACAAGGCCACACUGGUGUGUCUCAUGAAUAACUUUAUCCGGGAAUCUUGAUGGUGACCUGGAAGGCAGAUGGUACCCUCAUCACCCAGAGCGUGGAGAAGACCACGCCCUCCAAACAGAGCAACAACAAAUGGAGUCUCACUCUGUCGCCCAGGCUGGAGUGCAAUGGCUCGAUCUUGGCUCACCGUAACCUCUGUCUCCCAGGUUCAACCAAUUCUCCUGCCUCAGCCUCCUGAGUAGCCGGGAUUACAGGCAGCAACUGGAAACAACCCAAGUGUCCGUCAGCUAGAGAAUGGAUAGACCCAUGUGGUCUGUGCAUACAGUGGAGUACUGCUCAGUUACACAAGGAAAAGAAACUAUGGAUACAGGUCACAGGAGGGAUGAUCUUCAAAACAUUACAACAGUUGCACCUUUGUCACCCAGGCUGGAGUGCAAUGGUGUGAUCUUGGCUCACUGUGCAACCUCCGCCUCCUGGAUUCAAGCGAUUCUCCUGCCUCAGCCUCCUGAGUAGCUAGGAUUGCAGGGGGAAGGACGCACCCUGUUAUGAAUCUGAUACUGAUAUUUAUGAGACUGUGGCUGCUGCAACAUCAGAAUCCACUACUGUAGAGCCUGG